GGGGAAACGGGAAGCUUGCUCUUGACGCUUCUGAUCUUCGUCCUCCAUGUGGCAGUGAGAUCCGAUCAGCUUCGUCUUCGCCGGUCAGCUCCUUUUCUUUUCCGGGCAGCUCCUUCUUCGUCUCUCAUCUCCCCUUUUGCCCUAGCUUGAGGGUGUUUGCUCCUCUGCUCGAGAGUUGGCCUCUCUCGCUUGAUAAAUGAGUGUUUUUCUCCAAAUGAGGUGUGUGCCACAGAGACCCUCUGCAGCUGCUGC
Molecule: long non-coding RNA, 252 nt
Filed under: Vigna radiata
Lineage: Eukaryota; Viridiplantae; Streptophyta; Magnoliopsida; Fabales; Fabaceae
Description: long non-coding RNA (VRAD_LNC004759)
Source: RNAcentral